GGCAGUUAUGGCGCAUGCGCAGCAGCAGGGGUGGCCGCAGGUCGCCGUUCAAUAAUACGUAAUGUAUAGACUUUUGAGUAUACCAAUCUCCCUGUUUCUGUAGGUUCACCUGAGAUUUAUCUGGUCUUUCGGGGCUUAAAAGGGAGACAGUCCCAAAGACGUGAGUAAUUCUGACCUGUAGAGGAUUCCAUGGGAAGUCUUCUACAAGCCCCGAAGGAAGGGAAUCUCUCUCCUCAUACCUUGAGUUUCCUGAGUACAAUUAUUAUAGAUAUACGAAGAUCUCUAUGCUCAUGGGGAAUUUGUGUCAAGGGAUUUGUACAGCCCUAUAGGAGACACCUCCAGAGAAAGUAACAACUCUCAGUUGAUUAGCUGAGGUAUGUACUGUGUGACUUAAAUAUUGAGUUUAUUUUUAUCAAGUACCUGUCAAGAAAGAAAGUCAAUUCUGAAACAGCAAAAGCUCAAAGUUCUACAGAUGGCUUUCAAAGGAAUUUGAAUUAGACAUCAUUUGAUGUUGCAAAAAACAAUGAUAUCUUUUAUAGCUCUAAACAUCAGUUUUUAAAUCAGAGAUUGAUCUAUAAAGGAGCUAAGUUUGCAUAAUCAUUAUUCAUUUUAAGAUAAUAAUAUAUGAUAGGUACUAAGUUAUAUAGUAGUUUUGUGUAGAGAUUUAUACAUAUUUUCUGAUUGCCAUCAUCACAUCAUCUAAUUAUUUAGAAAUUUCAUUUUCAGAACCUUGGAUUUUGGACAUAGAGCUUUAAAAAAAAUU
RNAcentral lists this long non-coding RNA (763 nucleotides) under Pongo abelii (Sumatran orangutan). Its description in RNAcentral is "lincRNA". Lineage: Eukaryota; Metazoa; Chordata; Mammalia; Primates; Hominidae. The record is from RNAcentral.